AUUGAACGCUGGCGGCAGGCUUAACACAUGCAAGUCGAGCGGGGUGAUGGUGCUUGCACUAUCACUUAGCGGCGGACGGGUGAGUAAUGCUUAGGAAUCUGCCUAUUAGUGGGGGACAACAUCUCGAAAGGGAUGCUAAUACCGCAUACGUCCUACGGGAGAAAGCAGGGGAUCACUUGUGACCUUGCGCUAAUAGAUGAGCCUCAGUCGGAUUAGCUAGUUGGUGGGGUAAAGGCCUACAAAGGCGACGAUCUGUAGCGGGUCUGAGAGGCUGAUCCGCCACACUGGGACUGAGACACGGCCCAGACUCCUACGGGAGGCAGCAGUGGGGAAUAUUGGACAAUGGGGGGAACCCUGAUCCAGCCAUGCCGCGUGUGUGAAGAAGGCCUUAUGGUUGUAAAGCACUUUAAGCGAGGAGGAGGCUCUUUUGGUUAAUACCCAAGAUGAGUGGACGUUACUCGCAGAAUAAGCACCGGCUAACUCUGUGCCAGCCGCCGCGGUAA
This 503-nucleotide ribosomal RNA is filed under the name uncultured bacterium. Its description in RNAcentral is "partial 16S ribosomal RNA". It matches the Rfam family "Bacterial small subunit ribosomal RNA", at positions 30 to 523 of the family's 1533-position model. The record is from RNAcentral.